This 851-nucleotide ribosomal RNA is filed under the name Prosthecobacter debontii. Its description in RNAcentral is "bacterial SSU rRNA". It matches the Rfam family "Bacterial small subunit ribosomal RNA", at positions 19 to 891 of the family's 1533-position model. Lineage: Bacteria; Pseudomonadati; Verrucomicrobiota; Verrucomicrobiia; Verrucomicrobiales; Verrucomicrobiaceae. The record is from RNAcentral.
CUGGCUCAGGAUGAACGCUGACAGAAUGCUUAACACAUGCAAGUCGACUUGAAGCAACUUCGGUUGUGGAAAGUGGCGGACGGGUGAGUAACGCGUAAAGAACUUGCCCUUCAGUCUGGGACAACCAUUGGAAACGAUGGCUAAUACCGGAUAUUAUGGAACUCUCGCAUGGGAGGAUCAUGAAAGCUAUAUGCGCUGAAGGAGAGCUUUGCGUUCCAUUAGCUAGUUGGUGAGGUAACGGCUCACCAAGGCGACGAUGGAUAGCCGGCCUGAGAGGGUGAUCGGCCACAAGGGGACUGAGACACGGCCCUUACUCCUACGGGAGGCAGCAGUGGGGAAUAUUGGACAAUGGACCAAAAGUCUGAUCCAGCAAUUCUGUGUGCACGAUGAAGGUUUUCGGAUCGUAAAGUGCUUUCAGUUGGGAAGAAGAAAGUGACGGUACCAACAGAAGAAGCGACGGCUAAAUACGUGCCAGCAGCCGCGGUAAUACGUAUGUCGCAAGCGUUAUCCGGAUUUAUUGGGCGUAAAGCGCGUCUAGGCGGGUUCAUAAGUCUGAUGUUAAAAUGCGGGGCUCAACUCCGUAUUGCGUUGGAAACUGUGAACCUAGAGUAUCAGAGAGGUGGGCGGAACUACAAGUGUAGAGGUGAAAUUCGUAGAUAUUUGUAGGAAUGCCGAUGGAGAAGUCAGCUCACUGGAUGAAUACUGACGCUAAAGCGCGAAAGCGUGGGUAGCAAACAGGAUUAGAUACCCUGGUAGUCCACGCCGUAAACGAUGAUCACUAGGUGUUGGGGGUCGAACCUCAGCGCCCAAGCUAACGCGAUAAGUGAUCCGCCUGGGGAGUACGCACGCAA